GGUAAUGAUGGCAGAGAGGUCACACCCGUUCCCAUACCGAACACGGAAGUUAAGCUCUCUAUCGCCGAUGGUAGUUGGGACCUUGUCCCUGUGAGAGUAGGACGUUGCCAGGC
Molecule: ribosomal RNA, 113 nt
Filed under: Bacillus cereus
Lineage: Bacteria; Bacillati; Bacillota; Bacilli; Caryophanales; Bacillaceae
Source: RNAcentral